AUUGAACGCUGGCGGCAGGCCUAACACAUGCAAGUCGAGCGGAUGAAGGGAGCUUGCUCCUGGAUUCAGCGGCGGACGGGUGAGUAAUGCCUAGGAAUCUGCCUGGUAGUGGGGGAUAACGUCCGGAAACGGGCGCUAAUACCGCAUACGUCCUGAGGGAGAAAGUGGGGGAUCUUCGGACCUCACGCUAUCAGAUGAGCCUAGGUCGGAUUAGCUAGUUGGUGGGGUAAAGGCCUACCAAGGCGACGAUCCGUAACUGGUCUGAGAGGAUGAUCAGUCACACUGGAAGUGAGACACGGUCCAGACUCCUAAGGGAGGGAGCAGUGGGGAAUAUUGGACAAUGGGCGAAAGCAUGAUCCAGCCAAGCCGCGUGUGUGAAGAAGGUCUUCGGAUUGUAAAGCACUUUAAGUUGGGAGGAAGGGCAGUAAGUUAAUACCUUGCUGUUUUGACGUUACCAACAGAAUAAGCACCGGCUAACUUCGUG
RNAcentral lists this ribosomal RNA (484 nucleotides) under uncultured bacterium. Its description in RNAcentral is "partial 16S ribosomal RNA". It matches the Rfam family "Bacterial small subunit ribosomal RNA", at positions 30 to 507 of the family's 1533-position model. The record is from RNAcentral.